This 60-nucleotide small RNA is filed under the name uncultured Clostridium sp. RNAcentral describes it as "Streptococcus sRNA SpF59 (ldcC RNA)". It matches the Rfam family "Streptococcus sRNA SpF59 (ldcC RNA)". Lineage: Bacteria; Bacillati; Bacillota; Clostridia; Eubacteriales; Clostridiaceae. The record is from RNAcentral.
UGACCAUCCUUCACUUGGAGAAGGACCGAAGGCCAUACGGACAGCCGGGUCAAAUGCCGA